Long non-coding RNA from Acanthopagrus latus (yellowfin seabream), 935 nucleotides. RefSeq lists it as uncharacterized. The transcript has 5 exons. The record is from RefSeq and is a predicted model, not a curated record. NCBI's taxonomy places the organism in Eukaryota, Metazoa, Chordata, Actinopteri, Spariformes, Sparidae.
CUGUCGGCCGCCCUGGCUCUCCCAGUACGUCUGGUCCAGGAACAGAGACUGGAGGAGCUUCUCCCGCAGCCUCCUGCUCUUCAGCACCGACACGGCCUGCUCUGGAAGCCUGGAAACACAGAAAGUGAAGAAGAGAAAGCUCAUACAAAUGAAAUGCAGUAGUGCUGCAGCUGGGAACAGCCGUCAGGUUUGGAGUUGGUCUCCUCUCUCCACUUAACUAUGAAUGGAGCUUUGACUGAACUCAAAGAAAACUCUACAGAGAACAGAUCUCAACAGAUCUAGAGAACCGAGGGAAGAUCAGCUACAGUUUUGAUGAAGAUCACAAGGGUCCACGAGUGAGGAGGAGACAUGGGCGUCCUUGCCAAACCACAGUUUCUGUUCCGUCUCCCGUGUGAUGACUGUGUGCAGACCUUUCCUUCAGAACCUCUGAGUGGGCCUCGAGUUUCAACACUCUCCUUUCACAGAUUCAAAUGCUGUAAUUUGUCAACCAUGUAGUUCAGGCAGAAAAAGAUCUGAAACGCUGGAAAACAGCAACUGACAACAACAAGAAAGACUUUCCACCAAUCAUUUUUGUGGAAAUUUUUUUUUACCUCCAAGGAUAGUCAAUAACAGCCCCAGUGUCCGCAGGAUACAACGUUAGCUCUUAUCAUUUCUGCAAACCGCCAGUGCGUUAAAAGUUUGACUUGGCAGAGACUACGUACGGACUUUUGUACAAAACAUGCACAGGACACGUUUACAUGAGGAGGUGGAGGGUGAAGUUUGAUGCUACGUUGAGACAUUGGUAAGAGUGACACCACUGGAUGUCUUUCAGCAGAUCUGGGACCUUUCCAGCCGUGUUUGUGGUGAGUGAAGGAGGUCGGGCCAAACGUGAUGUUUCCCUAAACCUAACCAGAGCAUCAGCACAGAGCCAAGCAGAAAACUGAACCUGAACAAAC